RNAcentral lists this transfer RNA (83 nucleotides) under Clostridia bacterium. Its description in RNAcentral is "tRNA-Leu". It matches the Rfam family "tRNA". Rfam says of the family: Transfer RNA (tRNA) molecules are approximately 80 nucleotides in length. Their secondary structure includes four short double-helical elements and three loops (D, anti-codon, and T loops). The record is from RNAcentral. Lineage: Bacteria; Bacillati; Bacillota; Clostridia.
GCGGGUGUGGCGGAAUGGCAGUCGCGGCAGAUUUAGGAUCUGUUGCCAUAGGCGUAUGAGUUCGAGUCUCUUCACCCGCACCA